RNAcentral lists this ribosomal RNA (394 nucleotides) under uncultured Glomeromycotina. RNAcentral describes it as "bacterial SSU rRNA". It matches the Rfam family "Eukaryotic small subunit ribosomal RNA", at positions 569 to 964 of the family's 1831-position model. Lineage: Eukaryota; Fungi; Glomeromycota. The record is from RNAcentral.
AGCAGCCGCGGUAAUUCCAGCUCCAAUAGCGUAUAUUAAAGUUGUUGCAGUUAAAAAGUUCGUAGUUGAAUUUCGGGAUUGGCGUAUCGGUCGUGUCUUCGGACAUGUACUGGUAGUUGUCAAUCUCCACCUUCUAGUGAACUAUUAUGCCUUUCACUAGGUGUAAUAGGGAGCUAGGACUGUUACUUUGAAAAAUUAGAGUGUUUAAAGCAGGCUCUACGCUUGAAUAGAUUAGCAUGGAAUAACGAAAUAGGACGGCAUGAUUCUAUUUUGUUGGUUUCUAGGAUCACCGUAAUGAUUAAUAGGGAUAGUUGGGGGCAUUAGUAUUCAAUUGUCAGAGGUGAAAUUCUUGGAUUUAUUGAAGACUAACUACUGCGAAAGCAUUUGCCAAGGA